RNAcentral lists this ribosomal RNA (301 nucleotides) under uncultured bacterium. RNAcentral describes it as "partial 16S ribosomal RNA". It matches the Rfam family "Bacterial small subunit ribosomal RNA", at positions 509 to 807 of the family's 1533-position model. The record is from RNAcentral.
CAGCAGCCGCGGUAAUACCGAGGGUGCAAGCGUUAAUCGGAAUUACUGGGCGUAAAGCGCGCGUAGGUGGUUUGUUAAGUUGGAUGUGAAAUCCCCGGGCUCAACCUGGGAACUGCAUCCAAAACUGGCAAGCUAGAGUAUGGUAGAGGGUGGUGGAAUUUCCUGUGUAGCGGUGAAAUGCGUAGAUAUAGGAAGGAACACCAGUGGCGAAGGCGACCACCUGGACUGAUACUGACACUGAGGUGCGAAAGCGUGGGGAGCAAACAGGAUCAGAUACCCCCGUAGUCCCUGUCUCUUAUAC